GCAUGCUUGCGGUNUGGGNUCACUCUUCUUAAACAUGCAAGUCCNAACGAUGAAGCCCUUCGGGGUGGAUUAGUGGCGAACGGGUGAGUAACACGUGGGCAAUCUGCCCUUCACUCUGGGACAAGCCCUGGAAACGGGGUCUAAUACCGGAUAANACUCCUGCCUGCAUGGGCGGGGGUUGAAAGCUCCGGCGGUGAAGGAUGAGCCCGCGGCCUAUCAGCUUGUUGGUGGGGUAAUGGCCCACCAAGGCGACGACGGGUAGCCGGCCUGAGAGGGCGACCGGCCACACUGGGACUGAGACACGGCCCAGACUCCUACGGGAGGCAGCAGUGGGGAAUAUUGCACAAUGGGCGAAAGCCUGAUGCAGCGACGCCGCGUGAGGGAUGACGGCCUUCGGGUUGUAAACCUCUUUCAGCAGGGAAGAAGCGAAAGUGACGGUACCUGCAGAAGAAGCGCCGGCUAACUACGUGCCAGCAGCCGCGGUAAUACGUAGGGCGCAAGCGUUGUCCGGAAUUAUUGGGCGUAAAGAGCUCGUAGGCGGCUUGUCACGUCGGAUGUGAAAGCCCGAGGCUUAACCUCGGGUCUGCAUUCGAUACGGGCUAGCUAGAGUGUGGUAGGGGAGAUCGGAAUUUCUGGUGUAGCGGUGAAAUGCGCAGAUAUCAGGAGGAACACCGGUGGCGAAGGCGGAUCUCUUGGGCCAUUACUGACGCUGAGGAGCGAAAGCGUGGGGAGCGAACAGGAUUAGAUACCCUGGNUANUCCACGCCCNUAAACGUUGGGNACUAGGUGUUNGGCGACAUUUCCNCGUUGGNCGGUGCCNGCANCUUAACNCAUUAAGUUNCCCCCCCUGGGGGAUUNCCGGCCNCAAGGGUUAAACUCCAAAGGAAUUGACCGGGGNCCCCCCACAANCCG
RNAcentral lists this ribosomal RNA (911 nucleotides) under Streptomyces sp. LK1211.3. RNAcentral's name for it is "partial 16S ribosomal RNA". It matches the Rfam family "Bacterial small subunit ribosomal RNA", at positions 31 to 932 of the family's 1533-position model. The record is from RNAcentral. Lineage: Bacteria; Bacillati; Actinomycetota; Actinomycetes; Kitasatosporales; Streptomycetaceae.